This 385-nucleotide ribosomal RNA is filed under the name uncultured Prevotella sp. RNAcentral's name for it is "bacterial SSU rRNA". It matches the Rfam family "Bacterial small subunit ribosomal RNA", at positions 354 to 739 of the family's 1533-position model. Lineage: Bacteria; Pseudomonadati; Bacteroidota; Bacteroidia; Bacteroidales; Prevotellaceae. The record is from RNAcentral.
UGAGGGAAUAUUGGUCAAUGGGCGAGAGCCUGAACCAGCCAAGUAGCGUGCAGGAAGACGGCCCUAUGGGUUGUAAACUGCUUUUAUAGGGGAAUAAAGUGAGCCACGUGUGGUUUUUUGCAUGUACCCUAUGAAUAAGGACCGGCUAAUUCCGUGCCAGCAGCCGCGGUAAUACGGAAGGUCCGGGCGUUAUCCGGAUUUAUUGGGUUUAAAGGGAGCGCAGGCGGAGGUGCGAGCGUGCCGUGAAAGCGCGGGGCUCAACCCCGUACAGCGGCGCGAACUGCUCCCUUGGUUGCGGGAAGGAAGGCGGAACUCGUGGUGUAGCGGUGAAAUGCAUAGAUAUCACGAAGAACUCCGAUCGCGAAGGCAGCCUUCCGGCCCGUCA